This 425-nucleotide ribosomal RNA is filed under the name uncultured bacterium. Its description in RNAcentral is "bacterial SSU rRNA". It matches the Rfam family "Bacterial small subunit ribosomal RNA", at positions 354 to 796 of the family's 1533-position model. The record is from RNAcentral.
GUUAGGAAUAUUGGACAAUGGGCGCAAGCCUGAUCCAGCCAUGCCGCGUGAGUGAUGAAGGCCUUCGGGUUGUAAAGCUCUUUAGUCCACGAAUAUAAUGACUGUAGUGGAAGAAUAAGCCCCGGCUAACUUCGUGCCAGCAGCCGCGGUAAUACGAAGGGGGCGAGCGUUAUUCGGAAUCACUGGGCGUAAAGCGUGGGUAGGCUGUUUUGUAAGUCAGAAGUGAAAGCCCAGGGCUUAACCCUGGAAUUGCUUUUGAAACUACAAGACUCGAAUUCGGGAGAGGAUAGCGGAAUUGUCAGUGUAGCAGUGAAAUGCGUAGAUAUUGACAGGAACACCAGUGGCGCAAGCGGCUAUCUGGACCGAUAUUGACGCUGAGGCACGAAAGCGUGGGGAGCAAACAGGAUUAGAAACCCGUGUAGUCC